UGGUCAGUAGGUUACAGGUAGAGUUGAACACUGUGGUCAGUAGGUUACAGGUAGAGUUGAACACUGUGGUCAGUAGGUUACAGGUAGAGUUGAACACUGUGGUCAGUAGGUUACAGGUAGAGUUGAACACUGUGGUCAGUAGGUUACAGGUAGAGUUGAACACUGUGGUCAGUAGGUUACAGGUAGAGUUGAACACUGUGGUCAGUAGGUUACAGGUAGAGUUGAACACUGGUCAGUAGGUUACAGGUAGAGUUGAACACUGGUCAGUAGGUUACAGGUAGAGUUGAACACUGUGGUCAGUAGGUUACAGGUUGAUUCAGUCUAAUGAAGACACAUGUAGCCAUUAGUUGGGACCCCAGGCACCGCAGUGAGGCGUCGGAGC
Long non-coding RNA from Salvelinus fontinalis (brook trout), 382 nucleotides. RefSeq lists it as uncharacterized. The transcript is spliced from 3 exons. NCBI's taxonomy places the organism in Eukaryota, Metazoa, Chordata, Actinopteri, Salmoniformes, Salmonidae. The record is from RefSeq and is a predicted model, not a curated record.